CUAGCCGAGCAUUAGGCAUUUUAUAAAAGCACUUUGGGAUCCCUGAUAAACAGCAAUCUAGGAACUGACAGCAGUGGUUUCAGCAGAGGCGGUAUUGCAGCCGUGGAUAGUCUAAGGACAUAAGUGAGGCAAGGCUGGUAGGAAGAAGCAGUAUUUUUUUUUUAUUACUCAUAUAGCACAGCCAGGGAAAAGAAGCCAGGCUUUCAAGACCACAAACUCCUCUUCUGAUCUGGUGCCAUAAACUUCAGGCUUAGGCCUGUGAAGGGCUGGGAUGGCUUUGGUAAUGAGGCAAUCGGGGGGGGAAAAGCUCCUCGCUCCAUGCUGCCUAGUGAGUUGCUUAUAGGGGAAAAGGUAUUUCUUAGGCUUUUGUGGGGAAUGGGGGAGAACAGGGGACAUAAUAGCACUGCUCAGUUUAUUCAGAAAAAGGAAGAAAAUCAUGCAAUGUUCAUGAUUAAAAAAUAAAUAAAAUAAAAAAGAGGGAGGUAAAAAUACACUGGGUACAGACAGAAACCUCCUCUAAAGUUAAUGUGUAAUUUUUGCAGCACGCACAGGUUUUGCAUUUGCACAAGGAGCAGUAAGUCUCUGGUCGGAUCCCAGCUCAGCUAUACAUCAGCACAGCCCCGUGCUGGAAAGGACUGUAACUCAUCGGCCUAUCUCCCGGCACUCGAGGGCGGCUGUUUAGGCUCCUCUUACAAUUUCUCCUUGCUGUUGUGAAUCUUUAAGUAUCUGCGCCAGACUGCAAUCCCCAGGUCGACUGUAAAGCUGGCCUUUACCUUCACACUGCCUUAUUACAUCCAUCUUAAAUUAUGAGGGGCACUGAGACAGGGUUGAUAAGGAGGAUUUAUUAAGCUUGAAUGACCAUCUAUAGCGAUGCAGCGCUGAGUGACUCCCACUCCAAUCCCAAUUCCUUCUUCUUCUCCUUCUCCCAGAGAACAGCUGCUGCCAGAACACACUCGCUACCAAGUGUGAACCCUCAAGCAACUGGUGUUGGAAGGCUUCACUCAGGGAGGAGAGGAUUGGGUUCAGCUGACUGUGGUUAUAAAGGGAGGUGUCUCUAAGCAUCUGGUCUGGGAGAGCUCUGCCCCAGAGGUGUGGGGCUUGUAGAGGGUCCCAGGCAGAGGAAAGCCUGGAGUUUUGUCAUCUCACGGAGGUGGUGUGGUGGCCUGGCACUGCUGUCUGGGGAGCUCGUUUGCGUAAUUUUGUUGGGUCCUGGCUAAUAAUGACGUCACUUAAAAACAAUUCAUUUUGCUGGACCGAGAGUGGGCUUCGUUGUCAUGGCAACCUUUGAUUCGGAGACUUGCGGGAAGGAGACAGCACAUCGGCCCAGUUUCCCUGAGACUUAACAGCAACAAACAAGAUUAAGAUUGGAGCUUAGUGAGUAUUAGGGGGAGAUCUCUCAUUGCCAACGUGCUGGGAAUUACCAGGUCCAGCAGCCUGGCAGCAAAGGGCAGCCACCUCCCCGGCGAGCUCUCACUAACCCCUGUUGGGGUGGCUCUGUGAAUGGCAUCAUCCCUAAGGCGUGACAAAAUCCAGCCCCUCCUAAAAGCAUCCCUCAAGUUCAGGCACUUGAGAGAAAAGGGCACCAGGAUGUUUCCCUCCCGCUGGCGUGAUACCAGAGCUUCGCAGGGAAGGGAAACGAAGAGACCCUGCCAUGCCUUGUAGCUUCCAAGAAGAAAAGAGGUGUGAGGACGUGGGCUCGCUGCGGGCAUCUGACCCCUGCCACACAAGUGAGCAUUAUUUACUACUGGAUAAACAUUCCCGAGGCAGUGUGGAAAGAAAUCCCCACGUCUCCAGGCAGAAAUGCCCUAAGGCUAUUAACAAAAAAUGU
Molecule: long non-coding RNA, 1828 nt
Organism: Oxyura jamaicensis (ruddy duck)
Lineage: Eukaryota; Metazoa; Chordata; Aves; Anseriformes; Anatidae
Exons: 3
Source: RefSeq, a predicted model, not a curated record